GUCUGCAUAUUGAUAUUAUAAAAGAUCAGCUGAAAGAUAAAAUGUUAUCCUUUUCGCGAGUGAGUGCAGCGAAUGCUUUCAAAAAGUCUUCAUAUGCGCUCAGCUGCAAUUUUUACAAUAUCAAUAUGUAGUCAAUCAGAUUACUGAAUUAUUGAUUCGUAUUAGUAAAUUUUGCAUGAUAAAAUAUGUGUUUUCAUUGUUUCAACUGCAAACCGGACGAUUACAGGACAAGUUUUGGUCAAUCGUAUUAAAGCCUGUAAUUCCUUAUAACGUCGAUGGCGUGUUCGUGUCAAAUGUAUGUAGGCCGCCUCAACGUACUACACGCAACAAAGCUGUGAUAGCCAUUUUAUUCAUAGCUUAGUACAUUGGACGAUCGACCAAACUUGAUAUCAGCCUGAGUUAUUAAAAUUCAAUUCUAUAAUAAUAAAGCUGUUCGGGUCAAAUGUAUUUAGGCCGGGUCAACGUACUACACGCCACAAAUCUGUAACAGCUAUCUUAUGCAUAGCUUAGUAGUGUGAUACAGACAUUGGACGAUCGACCAAGCUUGAUAUCAGCCUGAGUUUUCAAACUUCAAUUCAAUAAUAAUAAAGCUGUUCGGAUCAACUUUAUUUAGGCUGGUUCAACGUACGUCACGCCACA
RNAcentral lists this long non-coding RNA (639 nucleotides) under Mytilus galloprovincialis (Mediterranean mussel). The record is from RNAcentral. Lineage: Eukaryota; Metazoa; Mollusca; Bivalvia; Mytilida; Mytilidae.